Molecule: non-coding RNA, 1428 nt
Organism: Phascolarctos cinereus (koala)
Lineage: Eukaryota; Metazoa; Chordata; Mammalia; Diprotodontia; Phascolarctidae
Source: RefSeq, a predicted model, not a curated record
UUCAAACACUUUCCAAAACUUGGCUUGCUUACUCUAGCUUCCACUCGGGUCUUUGGUCCAGACCUGGGAUGGCAUCAUGUGCCAAUUCCUGUAGCAGAACCAUCUUCUGCUGAUACAGGAUAACAACUCUUUGGUAGUUUCUGGCCUUCUAGAGUUGCCUGGAACCUUGGGAGGGAUGCAGGAGAAAGGUCAGUGAACCUGGAGUCUGAUGUUUUUCCUAUGUCGCUUUUCUUUUGAGAAUGCCCAAACACUUGGCCUAAAUUUGGAAGGGUUUUGCCAUUCCUUUGCCCCAUAAGUUUCUUCUGGCCCCUUCUAGUCCACAAUGCUGGAUUCUUUCUGUGCUUAAGAAUUUCCACUACUAAAUCAGUGUCCAGGCUCUUUUCAGUGACGGUGACUACAAUCCCUCUCCACCACAGUGGUUAGUUUCAAGAGUUGGUGUGGCCAAAAACAAUUAGUCAUCUGGCAGACCGCCUUCUGGGCUAUGUAUCUCCAAACUCAGCUCAGCAGAUCUUUGGGAGAUGAUCUCACUGCCAGGACCGUGCUGAAAGCCCUUUGAGAUGGAAGACUCAAGGCAUCUGGUCAGAUGAUGCUGUUUUGCUAGCCUUCAAGAGUGAGGACUCACUUCUGCAUCCCAAGAGGUACUGGAGAAGGACCUGAGUGCAGGUAUAAGCUGCAAUAUGAGUGACAAAUUGAGCAGAAAAGGUCUUCGCUCUAGGUCUGUUUCCUCAUCUGCCCACUGAGAGAGUAAGCUGCAAGGGGGGCCAAUCACAAGGCCAGGCUGCUUCACAUACUAUCUUAGUCUUGUUUCUUAUGGUUCUCUUGGGUGCCAUCUGCACUCUGACUGGAUGGACCAGGCAGCACCCUGUGCUCGUUCACUGGCCUUGGUCCUCCAUCCUCCUAUCUGCCCUGGGCCAGGAAUGCCAUCUCUUCUCACCUCUGCUUGCUGAAUCCCUACCUGUUCUCCAAAAGUACAAAUGCCACAUCCUGGAAGCCUACCCCGAUGGCCUCACUCUCUCUCCUCCCUCCUCUUUGGUAAAGACCUGAAGACCUCAAAGAUCAUUUGUAGCCUUCAACUACACUAAGCAGAUUUCCCAAGAAUAAAACCCUGGGGUGGAGGCAGUGAGCCCUAUUGAGAAGCUGACCCUUUGAAUUCAGAACUGAACCCCAUCUGGAGUAUGAAACUGAGGGAGGAGGGAGAAGUGACUUACCUGGAGUCACCAAAGGGUCCCUGUGGCAUAUUUGGAUGGGGGCUUCUGCCUGCCAGGCCAGUGAGCCGACCAGCCCCUGAACUGCCUGCUUUGGGGUGAGCACUAGAGCAAGAGGGCCUUCCACAGCCCUCACCCCGGUCCAGAAGAGCAACUGUACUAAAAUUUCAUUGUGGGCAUUCAUUUGUUUUAAAAUAAAAUUUGGAGACACUGUUUGCUUUGA